GUCUACGGCCAUCUACCCUGAACAAGCCUGAUCCUGUCUGAUUUCGGAAGUUAAGCAGGGUUGGGCCUAGUUAGUGCUUGGAUGGGGGACCACCUAGGAAGACCAGGUGCUGUUAUAG
This 118-nucleotide ribosomal RNA is filed under the name Pteropus alecto (black flying fox). Lineage: Eukaryota; Metazoa; Chordata; Mammalia; Chiroptera; Pteropodidae. The record is from RNAcentral.